AUCGCCUGCUUCUCGCCCUACACCCACCCGACCCGCCAAACGAACCCUAGCGCUCUUUCUCCUUCCCCUCCAUCCCCACAAGCUGCCACACCCCUCCCUCUCUCCCUCAUCCUCUCCUCACCUGCAGCCGCCGGCCUUGUCUCUCCACUCGCCUCCUCCUCUCCUCUACCACGUCGUCGUUGAUCCACCGCCGACCUUCUCCUCUGCUUACCUCCUCCUGUCCUCUUCCAUGUUGCCGUCGAUCCAGAUCGGACGUAUCGUCGUGGGGGAGCAGCGCCGGCAGGGUCAUCGCGGUGCAGGUGUGGGGUAGGAUGCAACGACAAGGGGAAGGAGGAGGCCGGUGAGGAAGUCAAGCAACAACGGGUGGGGGUAAGGGGCAGGGUGAGGCCUCGCGCACCUGCCGGCGGCCGGCGGGUCGACUUGUCGCGCCACCGCGUCGUCGUCUCCUCUGCAUCAUGAGGUGCCACCUCUGCCUCCACCCCCCGCCGGGCAAGGAGCUCGAGGUGAACAGGCGGUGUGGGAAGGCGAGAGGAAGCAGGAGCUCAUGUCUCCUCCAAUGGAUGUCUCGUGCAUCUGGAGUACAAGGAGAACAACACGUGCCUGUUGGAGGUGGCUCGAGCGAUGCAGGCCAGCGGCGAACUUGAUCUGACAUAGAAGACCACGUUCCUCAGGGAUCCCAGAAUCUAUUAGACAAUAUGGUAGUCCAAUGCUUUUUUGAAGUAUAUAUUGGCACUAUGCUGAAAAAGGACAUGGCAGGAAGUGAAGACAGCCAGUCAUCGCGCCAUAUUCCCGUGAGCUCCAUUCAUAUUACUAUAUGCUUAAAACGUCGUGCUCUCCUUCUCUACAUCAUGUGGUAGUUUGCUAUCAAACUCUCAAAAAGGAAAAACAAUGUUACUCUGUUUUUUGGAGAACCUUCCUGUAGAGUACCUUGACAGAGACAUAUGCGAUCGAGGAUAUAUUCGAUGGAUUUUCACGCAAAACUUGGAGGAUAUUUUUUGCAGGUUUGUUGCUUGCUUUAUUGUUUUCUUACUUUCUGUUGUUCAAGACAAUAUCUUCCUAGCAUUGCUCUAUAAAUUUAAAUCCAUCUUUUUGUUCUUUGGAUUAUCAUGGCGUACUCGUCCUGUCUAAUCCAAGAAAGAGCCUUCAUGUUUGCAGAUAGUUUGGUGUUCUCAUGGUUAUUUUGUAGUGAUUUUCCUUCCGUUCAUUACUUGGUAACCAUCUACCGCAGCUCAGCUAUUGUCCAGUUGCUGUCCUUAUGGUGAGUGAUUGAUGGUGCAUGUUUUCCUAUUAGUUUCUUUCUAUGCCAAUGUCUGAAUUUUAUCUUGCCGUUUUGCAUUUCUCCAGGCCUUUAAUUCUCACUGUGAUUCCCCGAGAUGCGCUAUUAGUAGGCAUCCACUUCCUAACAAAAAUUUGGCGGUCAACUUGAACGAGUCAUUUAUCUAGCUACAACAACCUUCAUUGCUUUUGCAGUCAACUUGAACGAGUCUAUACCUGCCAAAUAUUUACACGUUAGUAUAGCCAGAAAGUCAGAUGAUCGUUCCAUGUUGGUUAGCCGUGAUAAAUCAAAUUUCUAGAGUAGCAGAUGAUUCGUGUCAGGUUUCAUUUAGAGAUUGAAAUAUGUCUUGACUCUAAAAUAAGUAGUACAACGUCCAGUUCUGCAUAGGUGAAAGCAUACUAUCUAAAACUGGACGGCCUUCUAAAGCUCUGAAACUACUAGUUGUGUAAUAUGUAUCCCCUUUUCAUACUCUAUCUUUGCUUUCUACUUACUUACUUACGAAGCCUUUUAUCCCAAACAAGUUGGGGUAGGCUAGAUAUGAAACCCUUUCACGAGGACUUCCCAGGAGGUCACCCAUCCUAGUACUACUCUCGCCCAAAUGGGUUUCAUACCCAAAAGACUGGCUAGUUUUUACGUUGGCUCGCCAAGCCUAUCACAACCCUUAGAUAUGAAACCCUUUCACGAGGACUUCCUAGGAGGUCACCCAUCCUAGUACUAUUCUCGCUCAAAUGGGUUUCAUACCUAUGGGACUGGCUAGUUUUUACGUUGGCUCGCCAAGCCUAUCACAACCCUCCUCCUUUACCCGGGCUUGGGACCGGCUAUGCCUAGAAGACAUAGGCGGAGUUAUAUGCUUUCUACUUACUAGGAAAAAAUGCGUGAGAACGAUGGCCUAGAGGACGCGAAUUGCACUCAAAUAUAUGCAGGUUUCUUGCCAAACUAACUGCCACUAUUUUAUUUCAGGUGCUUCUUCUGUAACUUAGUCUAUUUUGCUGGCUCUUCUCAUUUCCUGGCGAACUUUUUAGUCUGUACAGUCGAAUCGUUGGAUGUUGCUUUCUACUAUCUAUAGAGGUUCUAUCCAAACUAUUAGCUGCCUGACUUGAUUUUUUGAAAUACACCGUCCUGAUAGACCAAGUGGACCCACACAUUUCCAUGGGAUUUUAGAAAAAUAUGUGAAUUUGCAUACAUUUUCUAAAUUUCUAUCUUUUCUUAUCCAUGCUUCCCCAUAGAUAUAUAGCAGGCUCAAAAAAAAUGAAUGUCUGAUUGUGUCCAAAUUUCAAGGAAGCGUGCUUCACACUUCUCUUUCUGCAAUAUGUUUCAGAGUAUAUGAUUUAAUUUUCCUACUUUCCUAGUUACAAUACUGUGUACUUCAUUCUUAGGUUUGCUUUGGGAAAAAUAGGUAUGCAGGUUAUUGAAAGCUCCAUUUUUCUCCAUUAUAUAGAUCAUAUAGCUUUGUGAUCAAAGGUAGGUUGUCACAUAUGGGAUGUUGCUUGUGAAAGUUAUAUACAGCCAUGAGUCCCUGGCAAAAUAAUCGCAGCUCAUGUUACUAGGAUCAGGGAACCUCGACCAUUUUUCUGAAACAUGUCGCAGCUCAUGUUCCUACUUUCUCAGCUACACUACUAUGUACUAAAUUCUUACCUUCACUUUUGGAAGUUACAUUGCUUUCUUUUCCCUCAUAAACUUGCUAACAAUAUUGGCGAAGUAAUCCCGACUUCAGAUUUCCCAUUGAAUAAAUAACUAAUUUAGUUUGUUAAAAAAUUGUAGGUCAAGAUCCAUGAAUAGGAGCAAGGCAUCACACCAGCUCUGAGAAGAAAAGGAUAUGAAGACAAAGAUAGACCAGUGUUCUGCUCCGAAGCAAAAACAUUUUGCAUGUAAUAAUGAACUAUAAUUUACCACAAUCUCUCUAAAAUAGGCCUACCUAUUACCAGUCCGUUGCUUGCUUUUGUAUUAGGAAGUAUGACCCAGUCAUAUAUAUUUACAUUCACGUUGUUUAGUUAUGGUUUGUAUGAAUGAAAUUACCUUUUUAAUCGAGCUUCAAAAUUCUUA
Long non-coding RNA from Triticum aestivum (bread wheat), 3319 nucleotides. RefSeq lists it as uncharacterized. The record is from RefSeq and is a predicted model, not a curated record. The transcript is spliced from 4 exons. NCBI's taxonomy places the organism in Eukaryota, Viridiplantae, Streptophyta, Magnoliopsida, Poales, Poaceae.